Xenia sp. Carnegie-2017 is the source of this 401-nucleotide long non-coding RNA. RefSeq lists it as uncharacterized. Lineage: Eukaryota; Metazoa; Cnidaria; Anthozoa; Malacalcyonacea; Xeniidae. The record is from RefSeq and is a predicted model, not a curated record. The transcript is spliced from 2 exons.
UCUAAAGACAAUGAAACCCAUGAAAAAUCAUCAUCAAGCUUCCUCGUGUGCUUUCAAUGAGUUGAGCGCUUCGCAAGGGCACGAAUCUAAGCGUUGUCUUUGACAAAGAGUUUUUAAUUGGGGAUUCUUUGGAGACCUUACAGAUCUAUCACUGACGCUUCCCCACUAAAAAUUCAAUAGGAUUUUUGGAUUAACUCAGACAGUAUAUGGAAAGAUGCUGUUGAAUACUUAUCUGAAAAUGUCACUGUGGACCAAUGCUUAUUUCAAAACAUGGAAUUAAUAAUUGGUGAAAGUCAAUAUUGCCAAGAUAACCACAGUGAGGCUGAGAUUUGUAAUGAUAAUCACUUAAAGAUUCAGGAAUCAAGGAAAGAAUUUUUCACACAUUUUCAUGCCACAGACUA